This 84-nucleotide transfer RNA is filed under the name Actinoplanes nipponensis. Its description in RNAcentral is "tRNA-Thr". Lineage: Bacteria; Bacillati; Actinomycetota; Actinomycetes; Micromonosporales; Micromonosporaceae. The record is from RNAcentral.
CGGCGUGCUGGUGGAGAUCUGGUCCGACAUCGUGUGCCCGUGGUGCUACAUCGGCAAGCGGCGGUUCGAGACCGCCCUCGCCGC